CAUGCAAGUCCGACGUGAAAGGGGAGCAAUCCCCCGGUAGGGUGGCAAACGGGUGAGUAAGACAUGGGUGAUCUGCCCUGGAGAUGGGGAUAUCCCUCCGAAAGGGGGGGCAAUACCGAAUAGUAUCCGGUUCCGUGAAGGGGACCGGGGAAAGGGAGGCCUCUGGUACAAGCUUCCGCUCCUGGAUGAGCCCAUGGCCCAUCAGCUAGUUGGUAGGGUAAAGGCCUACCAAGGCGACGACGGGUAGCUGGUCUGAGAGGACAACCAGCCACACUGGCACUGAGACACGGGCCAGACUCCUACGGGAGGCAGCAGUGAGGAAUAUUGCGCAAUGGGGGCAACCCUGACGCAGCAGCGCCGCGUGUGGGAAGAAGGCUUUCGGGUUGUAAACCACUUUUGCCCGGGACGAAAAGGGAUGUCAGAACACGGCAUUUCGAUGACGGUACCGGGAGAAUAAGCCACGGCUAACUCUGUGCCAGCAGCC
RNAcentral lists this ribosomal RNA (484 nucleotides) under uncultured Leptospirillum sp. RNAcentral describes it as "bacterial SSU rRNA". It matches the Rfam family "Bacterial small subunit ribosomal RNA", at positions 54 to 516 of the family's 1533-position model. The record is from RNAcentral. Lineage: Bacteria; Pseudomonadati; Nitrospirota; Nitrospiria; Nitrospirales; Nitrospiraceae.